Molecule: ribosomal RNA, 451 nt
Filed under: uncultured bacterium
Lineage: Bacteria
Description: bacterial SSU rRNA
Rfam family: Bacterial small subunit ribosomal RNA
Source: RNAcentral
AUCAACGCUGGCGGCGCGCCUAACACAUGCAAGUCGAACGAGAAAGGUCUCAGCAAUGGGACCGAGUAAAGUGGCGAACGGGUGAGUAACACGUAGGUACCUACCCUCGAGUGGGGGAUAACCCGGGGAAACCUGGGCUAAUACCGCAUAACAUCCUUCGGGAUCAAAGGAGCAACACGCUUGAGGCUGGGCCUGCGGCCGAUUAGCUAGUUGGCGGGGUAACGGCCCACCAAGGCUAUGAUCGGUAGCCGGUCUGAGAGGACGCACGGCCACACUGGAACUGAAACACGGUCCAGACUCCUACGGGAGGCAGCAGUGGGGAAUCUUGCACAAUGGGGGAAACCCUGAUGCAGCGACGCCGCGUGAGUGAUGAAGCCCUUCGGGGUGUAAAGCUCUUUCGGUGGGGACGAAUCAAGACGGUACCCGCAAAAGAAGCCCCGGCUAACUACGU